This 1084-nucleotide long non-coding RNA is filed under the name Mytilus galloprovincialis (Mediterranean mussel). Lineage: Eukaryota; Metazoa; Mollusca; Bivalvia; Mytilida; Mytilidae. The record is from RNAcentral.
CCCUUCCUAACCUAAAAUCCUGGAUCUGCCCCUCAUAUGGUUUAGGGGUGGGGAGCUCGACUGUUUCCAAGUUAUCAAACAGGAGGGGUAGAGUGGCCCAAAGAAUGCCACCUAUAUAUCAUAUGAUUUACUUACAUUUAGGUAUAUAUAAUAUAGUUGCAUUAUUUGUGAAAAUAAAGAAAGACACUUUCAGCUACUUUAAUUGACCCUUCAAAAUUGAGAAAAACAAAUAACCCUUCGAAAUUGCAGUAAUAUGUUUACACUUUAAAAGCAUCUCACAUGCAUUAUCAUCAUUUAUCACUGAUAAAGAAAAUUUAGACUGUGACUAUGAAUAUGUAUAUUGUUAGAUAUACUGUUCCCAGCUGUCACGUUGUAUUGGAUUUUUAAAUUAAAAUUUGUCAAAAAGUAAUUUUGAGUUUCUGUAUAAAAUAUUUUUCUGCUUUUUCUUUCUUUUACAUACAUCUUCUAGUGUUUAUAUUCAUUUACCAUGCAUAGAUUUAUUUUUUCACCUGCUUUGAUUUAUUUAGUAAUUGAUCGCCAAACCCGGAAUUAUCCUUAUCCGCUUCCGGAAUCGUAUCCGAUAUUGUAAAAUUUUGUCUUCACGGCCGCCAUUGUUAUGUGUUUACAAUGUUGUUUUUGUCAAUCAGAUACGAUUUUACUCGAAUUUCUACAAUAUUUGUCGGCGAUUUUCUGUAUAAAGCUAGCGGUUGAACAAAAUGAAUAUCGCUGUCAUAAAUAAUAAUGAUAAAAAUAAGUUUUUAGCUCGUUUAAUUGGAGACUUUGGUGAACAUGGUGAAAAGGUUUGCAAAGUAAUUUCUUAUUUUCUUUCAAGUGGAAGGUAACUACGUCGGGCGUAGCUAGAAACCAACUAUCCUAUUCGAAAUUCCGCUUGCAAAAGUGGAAGGUCGAGGACCUCGGACCACCUCUAAUUUACACACAUGCCUCCAAAUUGAAAAGCUACGAAAAUUUCUUUUUCUAAUUUGAAAUUGCCGCCAACAGCAUGAACAGUUGAACUUAUUAUAUAAUAGACUACUGACGUAGUUGUACUACGUAUUGAUGACAAACAAUAUCCCUACGACUUUUG